RNAcentral lists this transfer RNA (74 nucleotides) under Armatimonadota bacterium. Its description in RNAcentral is "Armatimonadetes bacterium (activated sludge metagenome) tRNA-Gln". It matches the Rfam family "tRNA". Rfam says of the family: Transfer RNA (tRNA) molecules are approximately 80 nucleotides in length. Their secondary structure includes four short double-helical elements and three loops (D, anti-codon, and T loops). Further hydrogen bonds mediate the characteristic L-shaped molecular structure. tRNAs have two regions of fundamental functional importance: the anti-codon, which is responsible for specific mRNA codon recognition, and the 3' end, to which the tRNAs corresponding amino acid is attached (by aminoacyl-tRNA synthetases). tRNAs cope with the degeneracy of the genetic code in two manners: having more than one tRNA (with a specific anti-codon) for a particular amino acid; and 'wobble' base-pairing, i.e. permitting non-standard base-pairing at the 3rd anti-codon position. Lineage: Bacteria; Bacillati; Armatimonadota. The record is from RNAcentral.
UGCGGGAUCGUCUAAGGGCAGGACAGCGGUUUUUGGAGCCGUCGGUCUAGGUUCGAAUCCUAGUCCCGCAGCCA